GUGAGUCAUCGAAUCUUUGAACGCACAUUGCGCCCGCCAGCAUCCUGGCGGGCAUGCCUGUCCGAGCGUCAUUUCAACCCUCGAGGCCCUGCGGCCCGGUGCUGGGACGCUGCGGCACGCCCCCGGGCGCGCCGCAGGCCCCGAAAUACAGCGGCGGCCCCGCUGAGGCCCCCGAGCGAAGUAUGCUAACGCAUCGCUCAGGGCGGUCCGGCGGGCGCCAGGCCGUAAAACGACGCCGCGCGAGCGGCGACACACCCAGGUUGACCUCGGAUCAGGUAGGGAUACCCGCUGAACUUAAGCAUAUCAAUAAGCGGAGGA
RNAcentral lists this unclassified non-coding RNA (318 nucleotides) under fungal sp. RNAcentral describes it as "partial contains 5.8S ribosomal RNA, internal transcribed spacer 2, and large subunit ribosomal RNA". The stretch from base 1 to 71 matches the Rfam family "5.8S ribosomal RNA", at positions 84 to 154 of the family's 154-position model. Lineage: Eukaryota; Fungi. The record is from RNAcentral.